RNAcentral lists this long non-coding RNA (553 nucleotides) under Capsella rubella. RNAcentral's name for it is "long non-coding RNA (CRUB_LNC000033)". Lineage: Eukaryota; Viridiplantae; Streptophyta; Magnoliopsida; Brassicales; Brassicaceae. The record is from RNAcentral.
UAGUACUUCUAAUCAAUCAAAUUCAUUGUAUUAUAACAUAUUCUAACCCAAAAUAACUUUAUACAAGCCAUUCAUUGCCUCAAAGCAAUGGUUUUGGGUUCUUAUCCUAUUUGGGACCAAAUAUCAACAAGUCUUUCUUCUCACUUCUAAAACAUUCUUCAUGCAUCUCUAGCACUUGUAAUCAAUCAAAUUCAUUGUAUUAUAACAUAUUCUAACCCAAAAUAACUUUAUACAAGCCAUUGACUGCCUCAAAGCAAUGGUUUUGGGUUCUUAUCCCAUUUGAGACCAAAUAUCAACAAGUCUUUCUUCUCACUUCUAAACAUUCUUCAUGCAUCUCUAGCACUUGUAAUCAAUCAAAUUGAUUGUAUUAUAACAUACUCUAACCUAAAAUAACUUUAUACAAGUCCUUCAUUGCCUCAAAGUAAUGGUUUUGGGUUCUUAUCCUAUUUGGGACCAAAUAUCAACAAGUCUUUCUUCUCACUUCUAAACAUUCUUCAUGCAUCUCUAGCACUUGUAAUCAAUCAAAUUCAUUGUAUUAUAACAUAUUCUAACC